UACGUAGGGUGCGAGCGUUGUCCGGAAUUACUGGGCGUAAAGAGCUUGUAGGUGGUUUGUCGCGUUGUUCGUGAAAUCUCACGGCUCAACUGUGAGCGUGCGGGCGAUACGGGCAGACUAGAGUACUGCAGGGGAGACUGGAAUUCCUGGUGUAGCGGUGGAAUGCGCAGAUAUCAGGAGGAACACCGGUGGCGAAGGCGCUGCUCUGGGCCGGUACUGACGCUGAGGAGCGAAAGCGUGGGUAGCAAACAGG
Molecule: ribosomal RNA, 253 nt
Filed under: uncultured bacterium
Lineage: Bacteria
Description: partial 16S ribosomal RNA
Rfam family: Bacterial small subunit ribosomal RNA
Source: RNAcentral